AGCAGCCGCCACGGUAAUACGGAGGGUGCAAGCGUUAAUCGGAAUUACUGGGCGUAAAGCGCACGCAGGCGGUUUGUUAAGUCAGAUGUGAAAUCCCCGGGCUUAACCUGGGAACUGCAUUUGAAACUGUCAGGCUGGAGUCUUGUAGAGGGGGGUGGAAUUCCAGGUGUAGCGGUGAAAUGCGUAGAGAUCUGGAGGAAUACCGGUGGCGAAGGCGGCCCCCUGGACAAAGACUGACGCUCAGGUGCGAAAGCGUGGGGAGCAAACAGGAUUAGAUACCCGAGUAGUCCCUGUCUCUUAUAC
RNAcentral lists this ribosomal RNA (303 nucleotides) under uncultured bacterium. RNAcentral's name for it is "partial 16S ribosomal RNA". It matches the Rfam family "Bacterial small subunit ribosomal RNA", at positions 507 to 807 of the family's 1533-position model. The record is from RNAcentral.